UACGGAGGGUGCGAGCGUUGUCCGGAAUCACUGGGCGUAAAGGGCGCGUAGGCGGCCUGAUAAGUCGGGGGUGAAAUCCUGCGGCUUAACCGCAGGGCUGCCUUCUAAACUGUCAGGCUUGAGCACAGUAGAGGCAGGUGGAAUUCCCGGUGUAGCGGUGAAAUGCGCAGAUAUCAGGAAGAACACCUAUGGCGAAGGCAGCUCUCUGGGACGGUACUGACGCUGAGACGCGAAAGCGUGGGGAGCGAACAGG
RNAcentral lists this ribosomal RNA (253 nucleotides) under uncultured bacterium. RNAcentral's name for it is "partial 16S ribosomal RNA". It matches the Rfam family "Bacterial small subunit ribosomal RNA", at positions 524 to 776 of the family's 1533-position model. The record is from RNAcentral.